This is a long non-coding RNA of Ochotona princeps (American pika), 976 nucleotides long. RefSeq lists it as uncharacterized. NCBI's taxonomy places the organism in Eukaryota, Metazoa, Chordata, Mammalia, Lagomorpha, Ochotonidae. The record is from RefSeq and is a predicted model, not a curated record. The transcript has 2 exons.
UGCACGGGAAAUUUGGUUUGGAAAAGGCAGGCGCGCAGGAACGUGCCAAACAUCAUAGCUUCUCAGCGUGUUGUCUUUUUCCUACAUUCCCAGCGCGCGAAGCGCGUCGGACAACUCGCUGCCGGGCACUACUUUCAGUGUGGCCCAGGUCGCGGGAAGCGGAUGGAAAGGAUGCCUGUAGCGUACGCGAAGCACACGCUACCGCGCGCUCCGACGCGCCCCCACAGCAGCUGCCCGACGUGUGCCCAGGGCCUGCGGGGCCCGCCGAGAUCGGUGGCUGCGCUGCGCACUGCUCACCAACUCCGAGCCACCAGGCCGCCUUAGAACCCCUUCUCCUGCCAACCCCAAGUGCUCGCACUCUCCAGUCGUAGCCCGCCGUCCUCACCGGGAGCGAUUCCUAUUUGGCCGGGGAUCUGGACUCAGAGCAUCCCAGGAGGCGCGGGCCAGGGACUUCCAGCGCCGCCCCGGAUCGUGCUACCGCUCCCUCCAAGCAGCCAGGGCCUCGGAGGCUUUUCUCUGGAUCCGGAGAAGCGACUGGCAAACUUUGGGGGACAACUUUACCACAAUCGUUUUAGGCACGGGAGACCUCGACAGCCCGAGUGGCAACGGCAAACAGGGGCCAUGAAGGGUGGGGCUGGUCCCGGGGCCCGGCCCAGGCGUCCUCAUAGGAGCAGACCGGGCGACCCCCGGAGGGGCGUGAGGCGGGCCGCUGCGCGCUGAGCUCAUCCCACUCGCUCUGCCUCUCCCGAACUCGGCCCACGGCACCGCGUCUCCGAGGGAGCUCUUGCUUGGCAGCGCCCAGCAUCGUGGCCUGGUUCGAAAACCUGGCUUUGGAUGGAGCCGAAUGGUUUUAUUUUUCUUUACCUCUCUGGGAUCGGUCUUUCCCCCACUUGACUUCGCUCCCCUGGCUGUCUUUGUUUUUCUCUCUGGCUCACACUUUCUGCGUAUUUGAUUUCUAGGUCAUUCGUUUUCCUCA